Non-coding RNA from Oryza glaberrima (African rice), 207 nucleotides. Lineage: Eukaryota; Viridiplantae; Streptophyta; Magnoliopsida; Poales; Poaceae. The record is from Rfam.
AAGAAGAUAAACUCUGGGUUUCCGUGUCCAACGUUUGACUGUCCGUCUUAUAUGAAAUUUUUUUAUAAUUAGUAUUUUCAUUGUUGUUAGAUGAUAAAACAUGAUUAAUACUUUUUGCGUGACUUGUCUUUUUAAUUUUUUUCAUAAUUUUUUUAAAUAAGACGGACGGUCAAAUGUUAGACACGGAAGCCUAGAGUUUGUCUUUUU